AUUGAACGCUGGCGGCAGGCUUAACACAUGCAAGUCGAGCGAGCGGCGGACGGGUGAGUAAUGUCUGGGAAACUGCCUGAUGGAGGGGGAUAACUACUGGAAACGGUAGCUAAUACCGCAUACCAUCAGAUGUGCCCAGAUGGGAUUAGCUAGUAGGUGGGGUAAUGGCUCACCUAGGCGACGAUCCCUAGCUGGUCUGAGAGGAUGACGAGCCACUCUGGAACUGAGACACGGUCCAGCCCCCUACGGGAGGCAGCAGUGGGGAAUAUUGGCAAAUGGGCGAAAGCCUGAUGCAGCCAUGCCGCUUGUGUGAAGAAGGCCUUCGGUUUGUAAAGCACUUUCAGCGAGGAGGCGUUACUCGCAGAAGAAGCACCGGCUAACUCCGUGCCAGCCGCCGCGGUAAUUC
RNAcentral lists this ribosomal RNA (406 nucleotides) under uncultured bacterium. Its description in RNAcentral is "partial 16S ribosomal RNA". It matches the Rfam family "Bacterial small subunit ribosomal RNA", at positions 30 to 526 of the family's 1533-position model. The record is from RNAcentral.